Long non-coding RNA from Cercocebus atys (sooty mangabey), 373 nucleotides. RefSeq lists it as uncharacterized. The record is from RefSeq and is a predicted model, not a curated record. NCBI's taxonomy places the organism in Eukaryota, Metazoa, Chordata, Mammalia, Primates, Cercopithecidae. The transcript is spliced from 2 exons.
UGAGGGAGCCUGUGCCCAUCCGGCCCAGUCGCUUUCAGGGCCGCUGCGGAGCUGCCGCUGCCAUCUUUGGAUCUUGUGUCCCGCACGGGGGCUCCACCAGGGCAGGGAUGGUGAAUGAGGAGAAAUUGAAGGGAAAAUGGAGAUGAACCUGAAAGAGCCCCAAACGCGAGAACGUGUACCUCCCCCAAGAAAAAGAUCUUCCAGAAGAACGAGACAGAAAAACUAGGCAUCUGGGAACCGUGAAAUCCUUGGAGGAGUAGCAUCAUCGUGAUCCUCUGUGUUCCUUUUAACAGAAGGACUUGCUUCCAUUGUUUGUUUGUUCAAUUGUUUGUGUUUGUUAAAUAAAUAAAACUCUUUUCAUGUAUCUUUGAAA